RNAcentral lists this ribosomal RNA (1686 nucleotides) under Salmonella enterica subsp. enterica. RNAcentral describes it as "partial 23S ribosomal RNA". It matches the Rfam family "Bacterial large subunit ribosomal RNA", at positions 54 to 1694 of the family's 2925-position model. The record is from RNAcentral. Lineage: Bacteria; Pseudomonadati; Pseudomonadota; Gammaproteobacteria; Enterobacterales; Enterobacteriaceae.
GGGCGUGCUAAUCUGCGAUAAGCGCCGGUAAGGUGAUAUGAACCGUUAUAACCGGCGAUACCCGAAUGGGGAAACCCAGUGUGAUUCGUCACACUAUCAUUAACUGAAUCCAUAGGUUAAUGAGGCGAACCGGGGGAACUGAAACAUCUAAGUACCCCGAGGAAAAGAAAUCAACCGAGAUUCCCCCAGUAGCGGCGAGCGAACGGGGAGGAGCCCAGAGCCUGAAUCAGCAUGUGUGUUAGUGGAAGCGUCUGGAAAGGCGCGCGAUACAGGGUGACAGCCCCGUACACAAAAGCGCAUGUGCUGUGAGCUCGAUGAGUAGGGCGGGACACGUGGUAUCCUGUCUGAAUAUGGGGGGACCAUCCUCCAAGGCUAAAUACUCCUGACUGACCGAUAGUGAACCAGUACCGUGAGGGAAAGGCGAAAAGAACCCCGGCGAGGGGAGUGAAAAAGAACCUGAAACCGUGUACGUACAAGCAGUGGGAGCACAGGUUUACCUGUGUGACUGCGUACCUUUUGUAUAAUGGGUCAGCGACUUAUAUUCUGUAGCAAGGUUAACCGUAUAGGGGAGCCGGAGGGAAACCGAGUCUUAAUUGGGCGUUAAGUUGCAGGGUAUAGACCCGAAACCCGGUGAUCUAGCCAUGGGCAGGUUGAAGGUUGGGUAACACUAACUGGAGGACCGAACCGACUAAUGUUGAAAAAUUAGCGGAUGACCUGUGGCUGGGGGUGAAAGGCCAAUCAAACCGGGAGAUAGCUGGUUCUCCCCGAAAGCUAUUUAGGUAGCGCCUCGUGAAUUCAUCUCCGGGGGUAGAGCACUGUUUCGGCUAGGGGGCCAUCCCGGCUUACCAACCCGAUGCAAACUGCGAAUACCGGAGAAUGUUAUCACGGGAGACACACGGCGGGUGCUAACGUCCGUCGUGAAGAGGGAAACAACCCAGACCGCCAGCUAAGGUCCCAAAGUCAUGGUUAAGUGGGAAACGAUGUGGGAAGGCCCAGACAGCCAGGAUGUUGGCUUAGAAGCAGCCAUCAUUUAAAGAAAGCGUAAUAGCUCACUGGUCGAGUCGGCCUGCGCGGAAGAUGUAACGGGGCUAAACCAUGCACCGAAGCUGCGGCAGCGAACGUAUCACCCAAGACAACUUUACGGAGUUGACGAUUGACGGAGCGAAGCGACGUCAAAGCGUUCAUUAAAGUCGAGUUGGCUUAGGGAUACGUUCGUUGGGUAGGGGAGCGUUCUGUAAGCCUGUGAAGGUGUGUCGUGAGGCAUGCUGGAGGUAUCAGAAGUGCGAAUGCUGACAUAAGUAACGAUAAAGCGGGUGAAAAGCCCGCUCGCCGGAAGACCAAGGGUUCCUGUCCAACGUUAAUCGGGGCAGGGUGAGUCGACCCCUAAGGCGAGGCCGAAAGGCGUAGUCGAUGGGAAACGGGUUAAUAUUCCCGUACUUGGUGUUACUGCGAAGGGGGGACGGAGAAGGCUAUGUUGGCCGGGCGACGGUUGUCCCGGUUUAAGCGUGUAGGUGUGUGUUCCAGGUAAAUCCGGUUCACUUUAACACUGAGGCGUGACGACGAGGCACUACGGUGCUGAAGCAACAAAUGCCCUGCUUCCAGGAAAAGCCUCUAAGCAUCAGGUAACACGAAAUCGUACCCCAAACCGACACAGGUGGUCAGGUAGAGAAUACCAAGGCGCUUGAG